Molecule: small RNA, 29 nt
Filed under: Bombyx mori (domestic silkworm)
Lineage: Eukaryota; Metazoa; Arthropoda; Insecta; Lepidoptera; Bombycidae
Description: ovarian small RNA-3194
Source: RNAcentral
UCAAGGUACGAAGUAUCAUCCGGAGCAGA